This 409-nucleotide ribosomal RNA is filed under the name Fusobacteriota bacterium. Its description in RNAcentral is "Fusobacteria bacterium partial 16S ribosomal RNA". It matches the Rfam family "Bacterial small subunit ribosomal RNA", at positions 355 to 776 of the family's 1533-position model. Lineage: Bacteria; Fusobacteriati; Fusobacteriota. The record is from RNAcentral.
UGGGGAAUAUUGCACAAUGGAGGGAACUCUGAUGCAGCAACGCCGCGUGCGGGAUGACGGCCUUCGGGUUGUAAACCGCUUUCAGCCAUGACGAAGCUUUUGUGACGGUAGUGGUAGAAGAAGCACCGGCUAACUACGUGCCAGCAGCCGCGGUGAUACGUAGGGUGCGAGCGUUGUCCGGAAUUAUUGGGCGUAAAGAGCUCGUAGGCGGUUUGUCGCGUCGAUAGUGUAAACACGCAGCUUAACUGUGUGCCUGCUGUCGAUACGGGCUGACUAGAGGAGGGUAGGGGAGAAUGGAAUUCCCGGUGGAGCGGUGGAAUGCGCAGAUAUCGGGAGGAACACCAGUGGCGAAGGCGGUUCUCUGGACCUUUCCUGACGCUGAGAAGCGAAAGCGUGGGUAGCAAACAGG